This 236-nucleotide ribosomal RNA is filed under the name uncultured Lactobacillus sp. RNAcentral's name for it is "partial 16S ribosomal RNA". It matches the Rfam family "Bacterial small subunit ribosomal RNA", at positions 127 to 354 of the family's 1533-position model. Lineage: Bacteria; Bacillati; Bacillota; Bacilli; Lactobacillales; Lactobacillaceae. The record is from RNAcentral.
UGCCCAAGAGAUCGGGAUAACACCUGGAAACAGAUGCUAAUACCGGAUAACAACAGAUGAUGCCUAUCAACUGUUUAAAAGAUGGUUCUGCUAUCACUCUUGGAUGGACCUGCGGUGCAUUAGCUAGUUGGUAGGGUAACGGCCUACCAAGGCGAUGAUGCAUAGCCGAGUUGAGAGACUGAUCGGCCACAUUGGGACUGAGACACGGCCCAAACUCCUACGGGAGGCAGCAGGGU